CCCGGGCUGCGUUCGGACCCCUGUCGGAGAGUAAAUCCGAAAAAAACAAACAAAGACAUGGAUUUACUGUGCAUAUUAGCAGAUCCAUACUGGAAAAUGCAUGGAGGUUUCAUAUACACCACUUACAGUAAGUAAUAACUCAGAGUAUAAAGUCGAAAAGAAAGAAUCUGAAAUAUUAGACUUGUUCUGAAAUAAGCUUACCUAGGAUGAUACCACUUUCACUUAAUCAGGAUUUCCCAACUAUUUAACAGUGGCAAAUAUAAAAAAUCUGGUAGUUAAAAUACACAGCAGUCACUUCAUAUUACUGCCUCCCUCAACCCACUCAACUUCUGAAGAACAGGGCUUUUUCAAGUUUUGUUCCCCUUUAAGUUUUAAUAGAAAAAAAAAAAAAGUUUUAAGUCAUGUUGUACCAAUAUAUCCCCAGCAAGAAUUGCAAUUUACCAAGGUUUUCACGUGUUUUGAGAGAAAUCUUACUGAAAGACUAGUGAUGUCCAUUUUCCAGUAAAUACUGAGCGAAAAACAAUUUUUAUACCCCAAUCUGAGGUAUAAACUUGCUUUUUGUGGGAUCACAACUGCUGUAAAUUAGACAGUUGUAGCAACAAUCCAAGACAAUAACAGAAUGCCUAUGACAGUCUGCCAUAUUCUGGUGAGUGUCUAUCAAAGCUCAUCAUGAUUUUUUGUGAGAUCUUCCCCGUAAUUGGUAGCUUGGCUUCCAACAAACAUGUUCCAGUUCUCCAAUAUUUCCUCUUUAGUUAGCUUCUCAUCCUUGUUUUUGUCUGACUCAUAUACCAGAUGCCUGGCCUCAGCCUGUGCAUGAUCAUAAUCUUGAGGGAGGAUCCAGUGGCGAAUCUCAUCUUUGUCUAACUUCCCGUCCUUGUUCAGAUCCCGGAAUUCGUUAAACUGCUCCCGUUCUGAUAAAACCCAGUCUGGCUCAGGGCCAUUCUCCUCAUGGGAAAACAUAUCCGCAAUAUACUCAUCCUGAUCCACAAACCCAUCCCCGUUCUUGUCGAUGUCCUCCAGGGUUUCCAAAGCCACAAUUUCCUUCAUAUGUUCAAACUCUUCAGGAUGCAGAAAGGCAGUGAACUCCUCCGGAGUAGCUGUCAGGUCACCAUUGAGGUCUGCAGCUUUGAAUCUUCUCUCAUCACGUGGCAGCAUCUUUUUAAAGGUGUGAUGAUCUGAAGAAUCAUGAAACUCUGCGGGGUUUCCUAGGUUUUCAGCUCCUCAGUAGUGACAAAGCCAUACCCAUCAUUGUCGAUUCGAUCAACAAUCUUCCCUAGCCUCUCCUUGCUCUCGUCCGGGGUGAGCUCGUCGAAGUUCUUGGAGUCCUCCUUGCCCAGGAAGGCCUCGUGGUCGUACUGGAAGCUCUGGUUGUCCUCAGGGGGCCGCUCGCCCAGCUCCGAGUCGGGCCGCACCACGCGCUCUUUGCGCACCGUGGGCUUGGCCCGCAGAACCCGCGGCGCCAGCACCAGCGCCAGCAGCAGCCCCAGGGCUAACCCCAGGCGGCCACCG
Molecule: long non-coding RNA, 1509 nt
Filed under: Homo sapiens (human)
Lineage: Eukaryota; Metazoa; Chordata; Mammalia; Primates; Hominidae
Description: non-protein coding TPT1-AS1:38
Source: RNAcentral